CAUGGCCUCUAAGGAAGCUGCAGCUGCUUCUACAUCGCUGCUGUUGUCAAACGGGGGCAGUUACAUUUUUUUCGUUUUUUUUUUUUUCCCGUGACAGUCAUGCUUCUGUUUGCUGUAACUGAUUUGUAACAUUUUCGAAAAAGACAAUU
Molecule: small nucleolar RNA, 149 nt
Organism: Nannospalax galili (Upper Galilee mountains blind mole rat)
Lineage: Eukaryota; Metazoa; Chordata; Mammalia; Rodentia; Spalacidae
Source: RefSeq, a predicted model, not a curated record